UUUCCGUAGGUGGACCUGCGGAAGGAUCAUUAACGAGUAAGGGUCAUUCUGGCCCGACCUCCAACACUUUGUUUAAUUACUAUGUUGCUUUGGCGGGCCCGUUUCACGACCCCCGGAAGUCCUCGGACUUCUCGCCCGUGCCCGCCAAUUUCCUUCUACAAACUGUUGAACAAUUGUGAUGUCGGAGUAUUAAAUUUAAUAUUUAAAACUAUCAACAACGGUUCGCUUAGUUCUGGCAUCGAUGAAAAACGCAGCCGAUCAGAUGGUAACACGUCUGAA
Molecule: unclassified non-coding RNA, 279 nt
Filed under: plant metagenome
Description: partial contains small subunit ribosomal RNA, internal transcribed spacer 1, and 5.8S ribosomal RNA
Source: RNAcentral